CACGUAGGGCGCGAGCGUUGUCCGGAAUUAUUGGGCGUAAAGAGCUCGUAGGCGGCUUGUCGCGUCGGAUGUGAAAGCCCGGGGCUUAACUCCGGGUCUGCAUUCGAUACGGGCAGGCUAGAGUUCGGUAGGGGAGAUCGGAAUUCCUGGUGUAGCGGUGAAAUGCGCAGAUAUCAGGAGGAACACCGGUGGCGAAGGCGGAUCUCUGGGCCGAUACUGACGCUGAGGAGCGAAAGCGUGGGGAGCGAACAGG
RNAcentral lists this ribosomal RNA (253 nucleotides) under uncultured bacterium. RNAcentral describes it as "partial 16S ribosomal RNA". It matches the Rfam family "Bacterial small subunit ribosomal RNA", at positions 524 to 776 of the family's 1533-position model. The record is from RNAcentral.